This is a long non-coding RNA of Prionailurus viverrinus (fishing cat), 245 nucleotides long. RefSeq lists it as uncharacterized. The transcript is spliced from 3 exons. NCBI's taxonomy places the organism in Eukaryota, Metazoa, Chordata, Mammalia, Carnivora, Felidae. The record is from RefSeq and is a predicted model, not a curated record.
CUCUCAUUCCUGCAGUUGUGUGCCCCUAAUCUGCAGAGAAGACGAACACCCUGAAGAGUUAUUAUGGAUUAAAAUGUACAUGCAAGAAACUGGAAACGACAUCAUCAUCAUGAUACUAGUAAACAUGGCUACUGUUUAUCACGCUCUCGGUUUAUUCCAGGCACUGUGACCUCCCUUCUAAUACCAAGUUGAUUGACUUUUGAAGACUUGUGUUGAUGCCUCUAGAUACUUAACUUGGAUAAUCC